This 274-nucleotide ribosomal RNA is filed under the name uncultured bacterium. RNAcentral's name for it is "partial 16S ribosomal RNA". It matches the Rfam family "Bacterial small subunit ribosomal RNA", at positions 523 to 796 of the family's 1533-position model. The record is from RNAcentral.
AUACGGAGGGUGCAAGCGUUGUUCGGAAUCACUGGGCGUAAAGGGCGCGCAGGCGGUCCUGCAAGUCAGAUGUGAAAGCCCACGGCUCAACCGUGGAAGUGCAUUUGGAACUGCAGGACUUGAGUAUCAGAGGGGAAAGUGGAAUUCCCGGUGUAGAGGUGAAAUUCGUAGAUAUCGGGAGGAAUACCGGUGGCGAAGGCGACUUUCUGGCUGAAUACUGACGCUGAGGCGCGAAAGCGUGGGGAGCAAACAGGAUUAGAUACCCCAGUAGUCC